This 104-nucleotide small nuclear RNA is filed under the name Schistosoma haematobium. The record is from RNAcentral. Lineage: Eukaryota; Metazoa; Platyhelminthes; Trematoda; Strigeidida; Schistosomatidae.
GUACUCGCUUCGGCUGUACAUAUACUAAAAUUGGAACGAUACUGAGAUUAACAUGGCCCCUGCGCAAGGAUGACACGCAAAAUCGUGAAGCCUUCCAUAUUUUU